AACGAACGCUGGCGGCAGGCUUAACACAUGCAAGUCGAACGCCCCGCAAGGGGAGUGGCAGACGGGUGAGUAACGCGUGGGAACAUACCCUUUUCUACGGAAUAGCUCUGUGAAACUGGAAUUACUACCGUAUACGCCCUCCGGGGGAAAGAUUUAUCGGGGAAGGAUUGGCCCGCGUUGGAUUAGCUAGUUGGUGGGGUAAAGGCCUACCAAGGCGACGAUCCAUAGCUGGUCUGAGAGAAUGAUCAGCCACAUUGGGACUGAGACACAGCCCGAAAUCCUACGGGAGGCAGCAGUGGGGAAUAUUGGACAAUGGGCGCAAGCCUGAUCCAGCCAUGCCGCGUGAGUGAUGAAGGCCGUAGGGUUGUAAAGCUCUUUCACCGAUGAAGAUAAUGACGGUAGUCGGAGAAGAAGCCCCGGCUAACUUCGUG
Molecule: ribosomal RNA, 431 nt
Filed under: uncultured bacterium
Lineage: Bacteria
Description: partial 16S ribosomal RNA
Rfam family: Bacterial small subunit ribosomal RNA
Source: RNAcentral